RNAcentral lists this long non-coding RNA (5436 nucleotides) under Oreochromis niloticus (Nile tilapia). RNAcentral describes it as "lncRNA (ENSONIG00000034875.1)". Lineage: Eukaryota; Metazoa; Chordata; Actinopteri; Cichliformes; Cichlidae. The record is from RNAcentral.
AUGUUCUGCAGACGGGCAUGGCAGAGAGUCGGGCCGCUGGCACGGAGGUCUUUCAAGCCGACACACAGAUACGCUCCGGUGCGACACAUGGCCUUCGGUGUUCCCGGAGGCUCCACCAACAUGACGUACUUUGUUUUGUGUGGCGGCGGCCUCACUGCGGCAGUUGUUUAUGCAUACAAGACGGUCAACGAUGAUACCGAGCGUUACGAGGAAAGACUCGCCAACAUGGGCUCCAUGGCGAAGGCUUCUUCAGCAAAGGCAGCACCAGAGGCAGCUCCACCUGCAGUUGAGCCUGCACCAGUGGAGGAGGAAGCCCCUGCUGCUGAGGUCAUUGCUGAGUCGGCCACUGCUGCUGCUGCAGAACCUGUAGGAGAGACAGCUGCUGAACCUGUUGUGGAAGCUGCAUCUGAAGAAGCAGAAGCUGCCGCCGUCUCUGAGGCGGUCGUUCCAGAGGCAGCAGCUGAGACGGCAGCUGAGACGGCAGCUGAGUCAGCAGAGACGGAGGACGCCGCUCCACCUGUGGAGGCAGAGGUGUUUGCUGAAGCGGCUCUGGAGGCCCCAGCAGAGGAACCAGUGGCAGAAAACGCUGAGUCUGCACCAGAGCUGCUCACAGAUGUUAAGCUCUUGACCGGCUCAACAGCUGAAAUUGCUGCUGCUUCUGUUGGUGAGAAGAAUCCGAUGGAGACUGUCCAACAAACUGAAGGUGAAGGAAAGGGACACAAGGUGCUCGAAACAGAAGCUUUGGAAGAAGCCUCAGAGGCAGUGGCCAAGGAAGCAUCUGAAGAGGGAGCAGUUGUAGAAGGUGAGGAGGAGGUGAAGUCUGGAGAAGGUGAGAAAAGUGCAGAAGAUGCUCAGACUCCAGCUGCUGAAGAAGUGAUAGCGGAGGUGACAUCUGCUCUGGCUGCAGCUGUGGACAAGGAGGCAGCGGCUGGAUCUCAUCCUGAGGAAACAACAUCUCCAAUGCCCACUGUGGACGAGGCAGAGGCUGAAGUUCAACCUGCUCCUGAGGAGGCCAUCGCUGCUGAAGAUGCUGCUGAAGAUGAGGCUGUCUCCUCUGAAGAUGCUGCUCCUCCCGAGGAGGCCACAGUCACCGGUGAAGGUGCCCCACUGGAUGAGAUUUCAUCAGCUGACCAGGCAGCAGCUGAAACAUCUGCAGAGGAGACAGCUGAAGCUGCUGUCAGCACAACUCAGCUGGCAGCAGCCUCCGUUGGAGCGGACCUAGAGGUUCUUUCAGUUGCAGAAACAGAGCCUACAUCAGGAUCUCCUGUGCAUGAGGAGAAACCCUGCCACUCCUGCCACUCUGCUCCCUCAGCAGGAGAGGAGGUGGCGCCACCUGCUGCUGUAGGAGAGGAGCUGAUCGCCGAUGGAGCUGUGGAUACUUCACAAGAAGCCAAGGACGCAGCCUCAGCACAAAAGACAAAGGAGUCCAACUGGACUGUAAAACGCUGCUCAGUCAUGUAAUUUUACAGUUAAGAAGCCAUGGAGGCGACGGUGGUGGUGAUAGCCCAGUCGUGACGGGACAGACAGUGUGCCUUCCACAACACUCGCCUAUCUGUCAACCAAGCCAGAGCGACCGGCGGAAAACAAAAAACAUGAAUAGAGGUAGUCACAGGUGUAACUGACUCGAACGUCCUUUCUGAAAUGUUAUCAGAGUUGUCUUCUGUAUUAGUGCUUGUGAGGUGAUUCCUAUCAUGUCCUCUAGGUGCCACUGUUGCAAAACCUUUCAUGAUCAGCUGAGGCUUCUUUAAAUCUUUCAGCAGGCAGUGGAAGUGGGUUACUGUAAUACUGUGUUUUAUUUUAGUACUGUGAUAGACCACUUUUAUAGAUAAUAAGCUUGCCAAUGUGGACAAGACUUUUUAAUGGGAGUGUCACCUCAGUGUGAUUUACCUGCUCAUAUCAGCUCACAUACAUGUAAUAACUUUAUUUCAGAACCAGAGUUACAAAGUUCUUCAAAAUAUUUACAAAAAACAAUCUUAAAACAGUAGAACGUUUAUAAAAUGAGAACUGCACAAAUAGAUGUAUAAAGGUGAGGAAAAGCAUCAGGUUUAAUAACAGAUAACAAAAUCCAAAAGAGGCAAAUCACAGACAAUGAAGUGAAGAGCAGGGGCAUCUUCAGAAUUUUUUUUCAUAGGAGUGGCCAUAUGGGGGCCACUAAAAAUAUUGGGAAUUUCCAGUUUUAUUAUGCUGUUGUCAAAUAUUGGUUACUUAAAAAGAAGAGAAGAGAAGAGAAGAGAAGAGAAGGGCAGGACUAUUUAUACACCCGGGGCUAACCGGUUUUGUGUUACUCUAACGAAAUGGUACUAAAACAGGAGAAUGAGACACAGGUGAAAGUAAUCAGGAUAUUCAGACAGAUGAGUAAAACCCAAAACAAACUAUCAAAAUAAAAUAAAAAAACAAUCCACAAAACAGGAAGAAACACUGAGGGAAGUAAGCAUGUGAGAAAUCCAUCUAUCCAUCCAUUUGAGUGUGAGUUAUCUUGCCUGUUGUUACAGGCUGUUCAGUUCUUUUACAACACAGUGAGAGCUUGGUCCGUAUUGCCAAUAAUAAGUUGGAUUUAGUCCUGAUCGCAGUUUGACAGCCAGUGCUGUCCUCUGUCGGGGAUUAUAUUCCUAAUUUCUAUGGACAGGAUUUCUGUGUGUAGGCAAGCACGGGAAAGUCUCCGGUUUUGUGGCUGAUCGAUCUCAAGUGCUUUGAGUGCUCAAGCAGAGUAGAAAAGUGCUAUAUAAGAAUCAGUCUAUUUACCAUCUAAUAUCUGUUUUUUAUGGAUGUGGUUCUGUUGGCUUCAUCAGGUGACCACCUCCAUCUCGCACUGGGGUGGUUCGCAGCUGAGUUUGAAGCAAUGAGAAUGAAAAUGAUCUCCUCUGAGCCUGGGUGGAGUGCUCACUCUGGGUGAGAGAUGAGUUGCUGUGCUAAGUGAAAGAGUCUAAGUAUCUCGGGGUCUUGUUCACAAGUGAAACGAACAGGAGACUGACAAACAGAUCAGUGUUCCAUCCGCAGUGCGGACACUGUACCGGUCUGUUGUGGUGAAGAAAGAGCUGAGCAUGAAAAUAAAGCUGUCCAUUUACCAGUUACCAACCUUACCUAUGGUCACAAGCUCAAGGUAGUGGAUACAAUAAUGUCAUCUCAAAUACAAGUAAUGGAAAUUCCUCUAACUUAGAAAUCGGGUGAGGAGCUCAGUUAUUUAUGAGUGGCUUAGACUGGAGCCGCUACCCCUCAGCAUUGAAAGGAGCCAGCUGAAGUGAUUCAAGCAUCUGACUACGAUACUUCCUGGGUGCCCUCUGGGUGAGGGCAGACCCAGCACACGCUGGAGAGAUUAUAUCGCUCAGCUGGCUUGGACACAUCUUGCUAUCGCCAUAAAUAAGGUGGAGGAGGUGCCUGUGUAGAGGGAGGUCUGGGCUUCUCUGUGUAAGCUGCUCCCCCACAAUCCAAACCCAGAUAAGUGGCAGAAGAUGGAUGGAUGGAUGGAUGGAUGGCUGGCUGGCAGACAAUCUUUUUCUCAUAAUACAAAGGCAGGUACUUACAUGACUGUCUUAUUAUCCAUAUAUAUUAGAAUUUUCUAGGUUUUAGUCUUCCUCUACAACUACAAUAAAAAAAAUAAGUGGGGUUUUAUUUACUCAAAGGAAAAAAGAAUUUUGUUUGUCAAAUGGCAGAAAAAUAUUGUUGUUGUUUAUAUUUUAGCUUCUGCAACAAAAGUUUGCUUUGAGUGGUUUAAAUAUUAAGUAUGUGAACGUCAGUGCUUCCAGUUAUGUAAGAGUGACACAAAAGCUUUAUUUUACAUACAGAAAUAAACAUGUUAUUGAUGCACUUUUCCUUCUUUUCUGAUACCACUAGCACCUAAAAUAGUUUAGAAAAAAGUGUUGAAAGGUUAAACACACAAACACAGACACAUAUACACACAUACGGAGGUGAAAAAUACCUGAUGCCAGAAAAUAUCCCGUAAACACACUUCCACAUCCAUACCAACACCUGUCUAUACUUACACAAAUCUCCAUUUAUGUGCAGACUGGGUAAGAGAAUAAGAGAAAAUGAUUGUAGAUAUACAGAUUGAAACUUUGUUUAAUAUAUUUGCAUAUUAAACAGUAACUUUAAAGCUUGUAAUUAGCAAAUUGCUCUGCAAAUGACUUCUCUGUUGUCUGAUAAUGUGCUCAAAUUUUAAAUAAAGUGAUGUAAUAACACAUGAGAUCAUAUGUUUUUGAGCAUUUGUCUGUUCUUUUUGAUCUUUUUGGAUUAACUUGCUCAAAGGCAAACAGAAGAAAGAUAAAUUAUGUGUCCCCUUUGCUCAAGUUUGUGGUGCAGAACAAGUUGAUGUGUUGUCAACUUUAGGAGUGCCAAAAUCUACAGUCUACUUUAUUCUUAAAAAAGGAGGAUUAUUGUUAUUGCUGAGCACUGGCCAGUUCAGCAAUAACAAAAGGCCAUGAAGACCACAGAAGACAUCUAAGGUGGGUGAUUGCUGAAUUCUUUACUUGGUUACGAAAAACAACUUCACAAUAUCCCGUCAAAGUCUACAAUCAAGAGAUACAUUAAUGUACAUGAGACAAAAUUAGACUUUACAAGAAAACACCUAAAAGAUCCUGCAGAGGGUUGGACAGAUUAAACUGAGAAAAACUUGUGCUCAUGAUCUGAAGAACAUAUCACCACUCAAAGAUAGUGGAGGUAGUGUAAUGGCAUGGCCAUGUGCCACUGGGACAGAGUUCCUUAAUGAUGUGACUGCUUACAGAAGCAGCAGGAUGAAUUCUGUAGUGUACAGGGCUAUAAUCUCUGCUUAGAUUCUGGCAAAGGUGGCAAACACGAUCCAGUGCAAAUGGAUAAUGACCCAAACUGCAAAAGCAACAAAAAAACAGAUAUUCUUCAGUGGCCAAGUAAUGAUCUCAUGUUCUCUAUGCAAACAGAGCAUGCUUUUCAUUUGCUGAAGACAAACCCGAAGGCAGAGAUCCACAAACAAGCAUCUGAUGAGAGGAAACGGCAUGUGGUCUGCACUUCAGUCACGUGUGGACUGUUUGAUUUAAACCCCACUGUGUACUGCUGUAACGAAUGACUCUUUAAUGUGUUGGUGGGCUGGGAUUGUUUAUGAUACGGCGUGACGUCACUAGUGUCACUUGCCUGAACAAGCAGAGUAAACUGACCGAGCCAGUCUCCAUGAGCCUCUGCAGACUCGAACGACCGCUUCGCAGCUCACUCACUGACCCGCAUUUACACCCCAGAAUCGCGGAAGACUUGAUUCUGGUCGGCCGAGAGGCUCCGGGAGGUCUCCUCCUCCCCCUCCUCACCAUGAAGGCGACCAGCUAACGCUAGCCGAGCAGUGUCCGCUAACAGCGGGACUCCUCCGGGCUGACAGUUUACAGCAGCGGCGGGUUCAGAGGAGGAGGGGGUUAGCACCCAGCUAACCACACACUGCUGCCUGUGAGCCGAUCAGGAGCUGAAAGGAAGGAUUAGACG